Molecule: long non-coding RNA, 437 nt
Filed under: Physcomitrium patens
Lineage: Eukaryota; Viridiplantae; Streptophyta; Bryopsida; Funariales; Funariaceae
Description: long non-coding RNA (PPAT_LNC000723)
Source: RNAcentral
UCUCCUUAGUCCAACAAACAUCUAAUCGGAUCGGCUCCUCAUUAGUCACAAUAGUACACUCCAAUGUUGGCAACUCAUCCUUGCACCUUACAUUGAGCUGUUUCUCCUCCCUAUUCAACUGCCUCUUAGUCUUCUCAAUCGCCAUUAUAUUCUAACAUAAGCAAGCACUUACAACUAAUCUCUCAAAACACACAUACACGGCUCCUUACACAAAAGAAAACAUGAUGCUUGUCAAGAGCCCCCUUCCUGCUUCUUACUAUGGUCCAAUCAAUUGGAUGGACUCCCCUUUAUUUUCCACGAUUUGUUACGAUGAAAUAUCCUACUAACUAGGUCUGACAACCAGUCUUUACUACCGCCAUUACUAAUCCCAUCCAUAUUCCUCACACUUCUUAUCACAUUACAUUUACUACUCUAUCAUCAUCAUUAUUUAUCCCCCC